CCAGCGGAGGGAUCAUUACCGAGUUUACAACUCCCAAACCCCUGUGAACAUACCUUAUGUUGCCUCGGCGGAUCAGCCCGCGCCCCGUAAAAAGGGACGGCCCGCCGCAGGAACCCUAAACUCUGUUUUUAGUGGAACUUCUGAGUAUAAAAAACAAAUAAAUCAAAACUUUCAACAACGGAUCUCUUGGUUCUGGCAUCGAUGAAGAACGCAGCAAAAUGCGAUAAGUAAUGUGAAUUGCAGAAUUCAGUGAAUCAUCGAAUCUUUGAACGCACAUUGCGCCCGCCAGUAUUCUGGCGGGCAUGCCUGUUCGAGCGUCAUUUCAACCCUCAAGCCCAGCUUGGUGUUGGGAGCUGCAGUCCUGCUGCACUCCCCAAAUACAUUGGCGGUCACGUCGAGCUUCCAUAGCGUAGUAAUUUACACAUCGUUACUGGUAAUCGUCGCGGCCACGCCGUUAAACCCCAACUUCUGAAUGUUGACCUCGGAUCAGGUAGGAAUACCCGCUGAACUUAAGCAUAUCAAUAAGCGG
This 529-nucleotide ribosomal RNA is filed under the name Fusarium graminearum. RNAcentral describes it as "eukaryotic LSU rRNA". The stretch from base 167 to 320 matches the Rfam family "5.8S ribosomal RNA". Lineage: Eukaryota; Fungi; Ascomycota; Sordariomycetes; Hypocreales; Nectriaceae. The record is from RNAcentral.